CUUUAUUGGAGAGUUUGAUCCUGGCUCAGGACGAACGCUGGCGGCGUGCCUAAUA
Molecule: ribosomal RNA, 55 nt
Filed under: Paenibacillus naphthalenovorans
Lineage: Bacteria; Bacillati; Bacillota; Bacilli; Caryophanales; Paenibacillaceae
Description: 16S rRNA. Bacterial SSU
Source: RNAcentral